ACAGAUGGACCCGCGGCGCAUUAGCUAGUUGGUGAGGUAACGGCUCACCAAGGCGACGAUGCGUAGCCGACCUGAGAGGGUGAUCGGCCACACUGGGACUGAGACACGGCGCAGACUCCUACGGGAGGCAGCAGUAGGGAAUCUUCCGCAAUGGACCGAAAGUCUGACGGAGCAACGCCGCGUGAGUGAUGAAGGUUUUCGGAUCGUAAAGCUCUGUUGUUAGGGAAGAACAAGUGCCGUUCAAAUAGGGCGGCACCUUGACGGUACCUAACCAGAAAGCCACGGCUAACUACGUGCCAGCAGCCGCGGUAAUACGUAGGUGGCAAGCGUUGUCCGGAAUUAUUGGGCGUAAAGGGCUCGCAGGCGGUUUCUUAAGUCUGAUGUGAAAGCCCCCGGCUCAACCGGGGAGGGUCAUUGGAAACUGGGGAACUUGAGUGCAGAAGAGGAGAGUGGAAUUUCCACGUGUAGCGGUGAAAUGCGUAGAGAUGUGGAGGAACACCAGUGGCGAAGGCGACUCUCUGGUCUGUAACUGACGCUGAGGAGCGAAAGCGUGGGGAGCGAACAGGAUUAGAUACCCUGGUAGUCCACGCCGUAAACGAUGAGUGCUAAGUGUUAGGGGGUUUCCGCCCCUUAGUGCUGCAGCUAACGCAUUAAGCACUCCGCCUGGGGAGUACGGUCGCAAGACUGAAACUCAAAGGAAUUGACGGGGGCCCGCACAAGCGGUGGAGCAUGUGGUUUAAUUCGAAGCAACGCGAAGAACCUUACCAGGUCUUGACAUCCUCUGACAAUCCUAGAGAUAGGACGUCCCCUUCGGGGGCAGAGUGACAGGUGGUGCAUGGUUGUCGUCAGCUCGUGUCGUGAGAUGUUGGGUUAAGUCCCGCAACGAGCGCAACCCUUGAUCUUAGUUGCCAGCAUUCAGUUGGGCACUCUAAGGUGACUGCCGGUGACAAACCGGAGGAAGGUGGGGAUGACGUCAAAUCAUCAUGCCCCUUAUGACCUGGGCUACACACGUGCUACAAUGGACAGAACAAAGGGCAGCGAAACCGCGAGGUUAAGCCAAUCCCACAAAUCUGUUCUCAGUUCGGAUCGCAGUCUGCAACUCGACUGCGUGAAGCUGGAAUCGCUAGUAAUCGCGGAUCAGCAUGCCGCGGUGAAUACGUUCCCGGGCCUUGUACACACCGCCCGUCACACCACGAGAGUUUGUAACACCCGAA
RNAcentral lists this ribosomal RNA (1214 nucleotides) under Bacillus amyloliquefaciens. RNAcentral describes it as "bacterial SSU rRNA". It matches the Rfam family "Bacterial small subunit ribosomal RNA", at positions 221 to 1425 of the family's 1533-position model. Lineage: Bacteria; Bacillati; Bacillota; Bacilli; Caryophanales; Bacillaceae. The record is from RNAcentral.